UAGUCAAUUUCAAACAUUACAACACAAUCAAUACAAUCCAAUCUCACACUCCAUUAGCACAUUCCACAUGGCUUGUGAUUAACAUUCAAUAGCAGCUCACAAUCAAUUCCAUGUGGCCUACGAUUAACACUUCCAAUCACCUGCAAAAUUCCAAACUCAGUUAUAAACCAUCCAACGUUGACCAACCAUCAUGCCCACCACAAGCCAAGGCAAAACCAGUCCAAGCUGCACAAAGUGAAAGGGUGCAUUUUCAUGACAGAAAACCACAACAUAAUCCACCUGCAAAAUUUGCAAGUCAGUCCCACAUAGCAGCUCAUUUUGAAGUAGCAUUCCCAAAACUCAGUUAAUUUCGUUCCAACUUGUAAAUGCAUAACAUGGCGCAAGUCCAAUUCAACCUAAAACAGGGAACUCGAUUAAACAUUCAAUCUACAAACAGAGGUUUUCAAACCAAUUACAACCAACCUGCAAGUCCUAACAGAAAAUGAAUUUUAACCAAUUAACAUAAACAUCACAUAUUUUACUAAAUCCAAUUCACUCUUUCAUUAACAGAUUAACCUCACUCUAACUAACCUAGAUAAGCACACGCGGAAUCACAAUCAUCCACUAAUAGAAUUUGCAUUUACUAACAUAAUUAACAACAUUUCGUUUCACACUCCAAUUAACUCUAAUAGAUUUUCUAAUUUAUAACUAACUCAAUGUGAAUUUUAGAUGAAUUUGCAUUUUCAUUUCUAACUGAAUUUGAGAACCAAAACUCUAUAAAUGUCAAUCACUCUUCAAUCACAUAGAUUCAUGAUUCAUUUUUCACUACUCUCAGAUUUUCGAGAUUUAUUCUCUCAUAACCUUCCUCUUCACCCUCACCUAGAGCUCCUUCUUCGACAUAAUCAAU
RNAcentral lists this long non-coding RNA (886 nucleotides) under Lathyrus oleraceus (garden pea). RNAcentral describes it as "Pisum sativum (pea) long non-coding RNA (PSAT_LNC004725)". The record is from RNAcentral. Lineage: Eukaryota; Viridiplantae; Streptophyta; Magnoliopsida; Fabales; Fabaceae.